Misgurnus anguillicaudatus (oriental weatherfish) is the source of this 2233-nucleotide long non-coding RNA. RefSeq lists it as uncharacterized. Lineage: Eukaryota; Metazoa; Chordata; Actinopteri; Cypriniformes; Cobitidae. The record is from RefSeq and is a predicted model, not a curated record.
UCCAACUGCUGAUAUGCAAAGAGAAAUACAUAAUCAAAUCUUGUACUUUUCGAGCUUAAGUAUGCAAAAAACAGCAUCAGACUGGCAUCUAACCUAUAUUUCAUUCUAUAUUUACAUGAAACUGAUAUCCUUCCAAACAUACGACACUUUAUAUGUACAAUUAGGUCACUGUCUGCUUGGAAAGCCUUUUAGAGACCCCUUCAAUUGGUCAGUCAGGCAUGAACCGGGUCAUGCGCACAAAUGAACUUAAUACUACACAUUUACUGCAUUUUAAUGCACAUGCAGAUUUCAAACCCCGCCACCAGUCUUGCUUUCUCAUGCACAUACAGACAGUUAAAAUUGACAAAAAUAAAGAAAAAUUAUAAAAAUGUACAUGCUGACAUUUUAUACAAGUUGAAACAAAAUGUAUUUGUCGUUUGUGCAUUAUGCAAGGAUAUACAAAAUUUAAAGUCACACCUUAAUAUAAAUAGCCAUUUAUUACAUAUUGAUUGUGUGUUGUUAAUACAUUGCAUUAUUAAUCAGACAAAGUAAUCCAUAUGAGAGACAGAGGGAGUAACAAAGCAGUUUUUCUCAAUGAAUUAUCAACGUCUAUUGGCAGGUGGCCAUGGGAACUAGAAUAGCCGGGUUUAAUCUUCGAGAACAUCCUUAAAGGACUUGAAGGAAACACGUAACCUCAAACUCUGCUCAGUCAGCAGACAUUGAUCUUAUUAAACUUUUGUGCUGGAUGUCCACGUACUGACCAGGCAGAAUGUGAAGCACACAUUAAAUGCAAAUUUAAGUAACUCCCCUCCCACUUUUUGUUAUUAUUCCUAAUGAUGAUUAUCAAUUAAUUUGUAUUACUCUAAUAUGACAAUCCUGUCUGGAUACAAUUCUGUUAAGAUGACAACUAAUACAAGGUUAAAGUAAAACCUCAUGCAUUAAAUAAAAAAAACGUUACAUACUAAAUGGACAUGAACAAUUUAUUCUUUACAUAUUUAGAUUUGGUUAGCUGAUAUUUUUGUCUAGACAUACCUUUUUGUUUUACUAAACAUGAACCAAAGAAUAUAUUUAAUAACCAUUUCGAUAAAUACCUUCACUAUUUAUAGCUAACAACCUACAUAUCACUGAUGCAGUUUUGAUGAGUAAUUCAUCUGCACACACGCAAAAAAAAAAAAAAAUCAUCUGCACGCACGCCAUACGGGCGUAAUUUCGACCAAUCAUCGCUAACUGUGAGUGGUCACGUAGGAUUCCUACGCUCCUGCUGCAUCGAAGCACGAUUUAAAACCGAUGCCAUCACCGGUGUCCUUAGGUGUUCGACUUCAUGCGGCGCUGCGCAGACGGAUCGCUGUAUGACGUCAAAGUACCGCGAGAGCGAUUCAAAAGCACAUCUCCUUCGCCAAACUGUCUGCGCAGCGCCACACAGGUGUCGGUUGUCAUGACGACCGUGCCAUAAAACACGUUCCUCAUGCACGUUCACACAGAAUCGCCAGAGCGAAUGUGUAUUCGCCAAAUUAUUCAGCUGACUAUCACUUUAAACUACAAGGAAUUCCCUGGAUGUGAUGGCACAGGAGGUUAUAAAAAUACAUCAUACUUCAUUGGCACCGAGUCACUUCCAGUAUUUGAUGCAGACUGGCAAUCCCAUUAACAUUCCAUCAGCACGAACUCUUGAUCUGUUUACAACCUGUUAACAGAUCUGGUUCACCAAGGACAUCUGGGACAUACGGGUUCAAUUUCAGUUUGGCGUGAAGCCCAACCCAAACACUGAUCUGCCUGAUGCCCAUCGUCAUGCUGCCAAUUUAAAGACUACCCUGUGACAUCUGACAAUUUCCUUGUGCACUUGUAGCGAUGGCAUUCACUAUAUUCUAUAUAGCAUAUACUGUAUAUAUAGUAUAGUAUAUACUAAAUUCUAUAACAUAUGGAGAUGUAAUCAGUAACAUUGGGUUUUCUCCAUUGGGUUACAAAUUGUAGCUGUGUUUUGGAUUGCAGCUGUAACAUUUCAGAUGAUAACUAGCCAUCCUUUUUAAGGAGAACAUAUCAUGAAAAUCUGACUUUAUCCUUGUUUAAGUGCUAUAAUUGGGUCCCCAGUGCUUCUUAAACCUAGAAAAUGUGAAAAAGAACAACCCAGUUACUUAGUUUUGGUAAACCAUUCACUGCAAGCAUGUGAAAAAAUAGGUCAUUGAUAUUUGGCUGCCCCUGUGAUGUCAGAAGGGAUAAUACCAGCCCUUAAUCUGCACUAUCCAACCACGGCACUGCA